AUCGCUUCUCGGCCUUUUGGCUAAGAUCAAGUGUAGUAUCUGUUAUAUGAGAAAUACCAAAUACACAUAAAGAGCAAAAUAAAGCAUAGAUUUCAGGAAGUAGAGAGAUAGAUCGUUU
RNAcentral lists this small nuclear RNA (118 nucleotides) under Fukomys damarensis (Damara mole-rat). RNAcentral describes it as "U2 spliceosomal RNA". It matches the Rfam family "U2 spliceosomal RNA", at positions 1 to 131 of the family's 192-position model. Rfam says of the family: U2 is a small nuclear RNA (snRNA) component of the spliceosome (involved in pre-mRNA splicing). Complementary binding between U2 snRNA (in an area lying towards the 5' end but 3' to hairpin I) and the branchpoint sequence (BPS) of the intron results the bulging out of an unpaired adenosine, on the BPS, which initiates a nucleophilic attack at the intronic 5' splice site, thus starting the first of two transesterification reactions that mediate splicing. The record is from Rfam by way of RNAcentral. Lineage: Eukaryota; Metazoa; Chordata; Mammalia; Rodentia; Bathyergidae.